UGAGCAGUCUGCAGUCGGCAUGCGU
RNAcentral lists this unclassified non-coding RNA (25 nucleotides) under Mus musculus (house mouse). RNAcentral describes it as "oocyte_clustered_small_RNA12454". The record is from RNAcentral. Lineage: Eukaryota; Metazoa; Chordata; Mammalia; Rodentia; Muridae.